RNAcentral lists this long non-coding RNA (1485 nucleotides) under Lathyrus oleraceus (garden pea). RNAcentral describes it as "Pisum sativum (pea) long non-coding RNA (PSAT_LNC029794)". Lineage: Eukaryota; Viridiplantae; Streptophyta; Magnoliopsida; Fabales; Fabaceae. The record is from RNAcentral.
AGAUCUCUAAACAUGAUUAUUAAUUAUAGUGGUAAAAGAGAUAUAAAUAAUAAUAACAUAAAUUGUGUUGACUUUCCAAACCAAACUCAAACUUUCCUUAUGUAAGAAAACCUGCAUUCUGUUAGGGAGAAAUGUAAAAUCAAAUAUCCAUCCUUCUUUCCCCUUUUUUUAUAGAUAAAAUUAGAACAACAUAAUUAUAGUAAUAAUCCAGUCUUGGUUUCUGACUUAAUUUUUCAAACAAACAUCAACCAAAAGAUCACGAAACCUAUGAUCAUUUAUCUAAUCUCUUUUUCACAUAUAAUUCAUAUCUUAACAUAUAAACAGUGAAGAGACGUGGCCAAAACAAACUCGAAGCAAAUAAAAUGGCUCAUGAUACUGCACAGAAAGAAAGAAAAAUAAAAAAGAUAUCAAACAUUCACCAUUUCUCUUAUCCCUCUCUUUGACUCUCUCAUGCUUUCAUAAAGUCAUCACACAAUACAAAUUGAUUAUCCAUAAACAUAAACAAUAAUAAAAUAAGUGCGUUAUUAAAACAAAUCCAAUAUUUACAUCUCUAAUUUACUCAAAACAAUCAACACCCAAAAAUGAUGCAGUAACAACAAGGAAUGAAACUCCAUCCAAAAAUCAUUACCAAAUGCCAAGAAAUUCCACAUCGAUAUUUUUGAAUGCAAUCGUCAUUGUGGAAGGAACACACUCAACACAGGUGAUGGAAUGAAGUGACAUCACUGUAAAGUUUUACUCUUCGUGAGAACCACCAUCGGUUGGAAGUGAGCAAUGGUUGAGAGAGAAGAUCUCGCAGCGCCAUGGAUGGAAGGUUGUCGCCGUUGGUGGCCUUCGAUAGUUUUAUGGUUUGUUUGAAGGUUGAGUAUGGAAGAUGUUAUGGAGGUGUUUGAGGGUGGAAUCUCCGGCGGAUGGUAGUUGUUGAUGACGUUGUCGGUGGUCGUUUGAUGGACGGAGUGGAGAACGGUGAUAGGUUUUUUCGUGGGGUUGUGAAGCCAAAACGGCGGUCGGAGGUUGUUAGGAAGGCGACGAAGGUUAUGGAGGAGGUGAGGACGAACGGAGGUGAAGGGGAUGUUGUGUGGAAGAAGAGCGAUGAUGUGUGUUAUAGGUAAAGAAGAGAAAAGACGAGAGGUUUUGGAAAGGAAGAAGAAGGACUUCCUCCCACCUCUUAAUUUACUGAGUUUUUUAUUCUUUCCUUUUUGAGAGGAGAUCUUGAAGAAAAUAGGUGAGUAUCCAUUUUCAUCACGAGUGGAGGCUUUUUUUUAUUGAUGAAGAAGAGGAGUUGAGAAAAAUCCGUCCAAAAAGCAAAAAACCCUCUCAAAAAAGUUUUUUUUAUCUUUUUCCCUUCAUGACCGUUGGAGUCAUAGAGAGGAAAAGCCUCUUUUUAUUUUCCAAGAAAACGUGUCCCCUUAUGUUAGCUGGCUCUUUCUUUCUUUAUCAUCUUACCCCCUAAGCAAGGUACUUUCACACCCAACUCCAAAAGGAAAA